RNAcentral lists this long non-coding RNA (456 nucleotides) under Manihot esculenta (cassava). RNAcentral describes it as "long non-coding RNA (MESC_LNC005482)". The record is from RNAcentral. Lineage: Eukaryota; Viridiplantae; Streptophyta; Magnoliopsida; Malpighiales; Euphorbiaceae.
ACAUUCAUCUGCCUCUCAGCAUUUUUAUGAUGUUGAUCUGCUUGUGCUGGUAAUAGAGAGUUUCUUGAUUCUAUGGAGAAGACAACCACCAGAAUCUGUGGAAAACACACGGCUUGGAAGAGCAAUCAGAAAGAUUGGAAGGCUCAUUGACACUUACCUCCAAGCAGUUGCAAGGGAUAAGAACAUGCCUGUAAGAAAAGUAGUAUCACUUGCUGAAGCUUUGCCUGAUAUUUCCAGGAAAGAUCAUGAUGACCUUUACAAGGCUAUCAACAUUUAUCUGAAGGUAAUAUAUUAAAAACCAUAUGAGAUAUGAGAUAUCAGAUAUGUGUUCUGAAAAUCAGGUAUUUUUCAAGCUUACUAUUUCAUUUAAAACAGGAGCAUCCUGAUCUAAGCAAGGAAGACAAGAAGCGUCUGUGCAGGAGUCUAGACUGUCAAAAGUUGUCUCCAGAAGUGCGA